CACAACUCUGGGUUCAACAACAUUGCAAUCAACAACAGAAACUAGCACAGAUUCCACAACUCUGGGUUCAACAACAUUGCAAUCAACAACAGAAACUAGCACAGAAUAUUCAACAACUCUGGAUUCAACAACAUUACAAUCAACAACCGAAGCUAGCACAG
Biomphalaria glabrata is the source of this 161-nucleotide long non-coding RNA. RefSeq lists it as uncharacterized. The record is from RefSeq and is a predicted model, not a curated record. The transcript is spliced from 3 exons. Lineage: Eukaryota; Metazoa; Mollusca; Gastropoda; Planorbidae.